GUGGGGAAUUUUGGACAAUGGGCGCAAGCCUGAUCCAGCAAUGCCGCGUGCAGGAAGAAGGCCUUCGGGUUGUAAACUGCUUUUGUACGGAACGAAACGGUCCUGGUUAAUACCCGGGGCUAAUGACGGUACCGUAAGAAUAAGCACCGGCUAACUACGUGCCAGCAGCCGCGGUAAUACGUAGGGUGCAAGCGUUAAUCGGAAUUACUGGGCGUAAAGCGUGCGCAGGCGGUGCUGUAAGACAGGCGUGAAAUCCCCGGGCUUAACCUGGGAAUUGCGCUUGUGACUGCAGUGCUGGAGUGCGGCAGAGGGGGAUGGAAUUCCGCGUGUAGCAGUGAAAUGCGUAGAUAUGCGGAGGAACACCGAUGGCGAAGGCAAUCCCCUGGGCCUGCACUGACGCUCAUGCACGAAAGCGUGGGGAGCAAACAGGAUUAGAAACCCUAGUAGUCC
This 450-nucleotide ribosomal RNA is filed under the name uncultured bacterium. RNAcentral's name for it is "partial 16S ribosomal RNA". It matches the Rfam family "Bacterial small subunit ribosomal RNA", at positions 354 to 796 of the family's 1533-position model. The record is from RNAcentral.